Molecule: long non-coding RNA, 1910 nt
Organism: Megalobrama amblycephala (Wuchang bream)
Lineage: Eukaryota; Metazoa; Chordata; Actinopteri; Cypriniformes; Xenocyprididae
Exons: 3
Source: RefSeq, a predicted model, not a curated record
CGGCACGCGACGAUUCUAUUUUAGAAACGGUUUCUAUUUUUCUGGGAAGUUGCGGCUGGAACAACAACACAAAGUAUGGCAAUGAUAAUCUCAGGCGUGUCCAAGGCUCAGUUUGAAGGAAGAGAGAAAGAAAACACGGUUGUAAUGAGAAGAAUGAAAAGGGUGUCCUUCGAUUUGAUUUGAGGUCUCCAGUCCUUGCUCUCCUCACCUUUGUGUUAAUAUCAUCUUAUGUCUCAGAAAUUACUUUAUGAACCCAUAAAAGACACUUGGGAUUUUUGCAAGAUACCAUCUGUUGGGUCACGUUGAAGGCUCAAACGUUUCCGCUUUGAAUUAUUUUCUCCAUAACCUUCAUUGCUUCAUGUCGUUGGUCUUUGUGCUCUCACUGGAUUGUCAAUGGAGUCCAAAGGAGAUUGUAAGAAUCCCUUUGGGAUCAAGGCUGGACUUUUGUGCUUGACUAUCAAGAUCCCAAAGGGACACACUGCCUUCAAUGGACUUAAAACCUUCAAAAGCCUUUGCAGGGUCACUUAUCCCGUCAUGCUGGUGUGGAUGUCUUGAACUGGAGGAAGGUCCAGGACUUUGCAGAGUGGAAGAUUCGGCUUAUGGCUGUCGUAUGUGGUUUACUGAUGAUCCUGUGAUCCUGUUUGGAUGGCGUCUGGUAUUCAGAUAUCCAUCCUUCUCCACUCAUGUCCUCAAGGGACACAGAUCUUCCUGAUGAGAUUUCCACCAGGCAUAUCGGAUCCCGGUUUGUCUGAAGAUGCUUGUCACAUCCCAUGUUCCACAGAGAAGUUUCACAAAACAUCUAAGGAAAGAAUAAAACGAAAUAAAAACUGUUAUUUGCGCUGCUGCUUGUGCAAGAUAGAUGUAGCCAUAGCCUUCUCUAUUUAUAAAGUUUUAGGUCAGAUACGGAAAAAUUUACUGUUUUUCAAUUUUUUACUAAUAUGUGUAUGUUUUCCUUGAAGCUUGAAAUAUUAUGUAAAAAAAAAAAAAAAAAAAAAAGUUCAGUAACUUGUAUUACACUUUUAACCACUGGGUGGCACUAUGUUGCAAGCUAAUAGCGGUUUCUUUGAGACAAAUCUGUAUUCAAAUGUCAAGACAUUUUGUCUUAUUGAAGAUAUGUAUACACUAAAAAGUAUAAUCGUUCAUAUCGAUUAGUUUAAAUAACUGGAAACCGAAGAAAAAAAAAAUAUGGAGCAUCCGCACAAACAAUCUUUAUAAAAGGAGUUUCUGUCUUGUAAUCUCAAACGACAGGUAUUGGGCUAUCGUACAAUGCGAAGAGAAAAGUAACAGUUCACACGUGACAUUACGAUCAACGCGCUUAAAAAUAACUGCUGAAUAAAAAGAAUAUAGGUAGCUAUUUGAAUAACCACUAAAAAGUUACGUUUAUUCAUUUUUUAGACAAUUAUAUAAUAAACGUCUGCGCCAGUAAAACCAGCUUAUCCUCACACAGCUGUUUCAUGUCCAUGACUAAUUUAUGAUAUAGACCUAAUCUAUUAUUUUUACCUAAAUGGACUAUCGUUAGUUAUUAAUUUAAGAUGGUCAGGAACUAGUCUAUGAUGCCAAAAAUGUAGGCAGUCUAUAACUUUGCCUAAUUCGAAGUCUGACCUACUUUAAGAACUUUGCAUUUGGAAAUGGACGCCUUCACUGUUUGCAUAAAGAAAAAAAAGGGAACAGAAGCUGAACAAAACAAUCAAAUCUUACCUUGAUUUUGUCUGACUGAUUUCGCCUCGUCGUCUGUUAAUGCGAUGAAUGUCAACAAUGCGACUACAGCGUCAUCAAACGCAGCUUUUAAACUAGGUUUUAUUGCACCUGAAGGUAGAUUCCCAAGACAAUUAACCACAAAAUGUAGAAUACGGAGUCCAAAGGUCCUCUGUAAACUCUUAAAAGUGACACAAGGUGUCUUCUUAUGGUGC